This 309-nucleotide ribosomal RNA is filed under the name uncultured Erysiphe. RNAcentral's name for it is "partial large subunit ribosomal RNA". It matches the Rfam family "Eukaryotic large subunit ribosomal RNA", at positions 40 to 350 of the family's 3401-position model. Lineage: Eukaryota; Fungi; Ascomycota; Leotiomycetes; Helotiales; Erysiphaceae. The record is from RNAcentral.
AUAUCAAUAAGCGGAGGAAAAGAAACCAACAGGGAUUACCUCAGUAACGGCGAGUGAAGCGGUAACAGCUCAAAUUUGAAAUCUCCCGUCAGGGCGAGUUGUAAUUUGUAGAAGAUGCUUUGGGUAUGGCCCCGGUCUAAGUUCGUUGGAACACGACGUCAUAGAGGGUGAGAAUCCCGUAUGUGACUGGGUGCUUUUGCCUAUGUAAAGCUCUUUCAACGAGUCGAGUUGUUUGGGAAUGCAGCUCAAAAUGGGUGGUAUAUUUCAUCUAAAGCUAAAUAUUGGCCAGAGACCGAUAGCGCACAAGUA